AUUGAACGCUGGCGGCAGGCUUAACACAUGCAAGUCGAGCGGAGCGAGGGUGCUUGCACCUUAGCUUAGCGGCGGACGGGUGAGUAAUGCUUAGGAAUCUGCCUAUUAGUGGGGGACAACAUUCCGAAAGGAAUGCUAAUACCGCAUACGCCCUACGGGGGAAAGCAGGGGAUCUUCGGACCUUGCGCUAAUAGAUGAGCCUAAGUCGGAUUAGCUAGUUGGUGGGGUAAAGGCCUACCAAGGCGACGAUCUGUAGCGGGUCUGAGAGGAUGAUCCGCCAACGUGGGACUGAGAAACGGCCCAGACUCCGACGGGAGGCAGCAGUGGGGAAUAUUGGACAAUGGGCGGAAGCCUGAUCCAGCCAUACCGCGUGUGUGAAGAAGGCCUUUUGGUUGUAAAGCACUUUAAGCGAGGAGGAGGCUACUUAGAUUAAUACUCUAGGAUAGUGGACGUUACUCGCAGAAUAAGCACCGGCUAACUCUGUGCCAGCCGCCGCCGUAA
RNAcentral lists this ribosomal RNA (501 nucleotides) under uncultured bacterium. RNAcentral's name for it is "partial 16S ribosomal RNA". It matches the Rfam family "Bacterial small subunit ribosomal RNA", at positions 30 to 523 of the family's 1533-position model. The record is from RNAcentral.